CUUGUGCUUUCCUCUCCGGGGCGUUGUGGAUACAACAGAAAACGAAAUGUCUUCAAUUUCUUGCACUAAGCUCACACUAUUCAGCAUCGCAGCAGUUAUCAUUCAGUUCAUUGGUCUCAGCAUAUUCGUUUUCGGUUUCUUCCCCGUCAAACCAGUUCUCUCCGGCCACAGUGGAUCCGAGAGUUUCCGACGACCGACCUGCAAUAACAACGGCGUCGCAAAUCAGAGCGAUCCGUCUCUGCCUCCAGAUCGCCUUAGGUUUUUGUAUCAGGAAGUAUCUGAGAUCCUUCCUUUAUAUGAUCGACUCGUCUUAAUGGUCAUUGAUGGUCUGCCAGCAGAAUUUGUGCUUGGUAAGAAGGGUCAGCCUCCUAAUAAGACUUUUAUGGAAGCUAUGCCUUAUACACAGUCGUUGUUGGCAAAUGGCAUGGCUGUUGGGUAUCAUGCAAUUGCUGCUGCUCCAACCGUUACCAUGCCCCGAUUGAAGGCCAUGGUUUCUGGAGCAAUUGGGGGUUUCCUGGAUGUUGCUUUCAACUUUAACACCCAGGCAUAUUUAGAUGACAAUCUUCUUGCACAGUUCUUUAAGAUUGGAUGGAAAAUCAUUAUGCAUGGUGAUGAUACAUGGCUCAAGUUAUUUCCUGGUUUAUUUGAAAGAUAUGACGGAGUUAGCAGUUUUUUUGUUAAAGAUACUGUACAAGUAGAUCAAAAUGUGUCUCGACAUCUUGGUGAUGAACUUAGCAGAGAUGAUUGGAAUUUUCUGAUACUUCAUUAUCUAGGCUUGGAUCAUGUUGGACAUAUUGGUGGACGCAACAGUGUAUUAAUGGCUUCAAAACUUUUUGAAAUGGAUGAAGUAGUGAAGAUGAUCCAUAUUAAUUCUUUGCGAAAUCUAGAAAAGGAUCAAGGGCAGACACUUCUGGUUGUGGUCAGUGACCAUGGAAUGACUGAGAAUGGGAAUCAUGGGGGUUCAUCCUACGAGGAAACAGACUCUAUAGCUCUAUUUAUUGGUCCAAAAACCCAUGCCUCUGGCCAGGCAUCAUCCAAUUAUGACACAAUUUUUCAGGUUGAUAUUGCACCAACAUUAGCUUUACUUUUUGGCGUGCCAAUUCCAAAAAAUAAUAUUGGUGUUCUGAUCUCUGAAAUGGUUGACUCUCUGACAGAUGACCAAAAGUUGAGGGCACUGCAGUUGAACUCAUGGCAGCUAUUCCGAUUACUUCAAGCACAAUUGCCUGGUUUGUCUUGCAGAAAUUUUCCAUGUGAUGCUUUUGUUACUAAUAGUGGACCCACAGUUAGUGAAUGUAAAGGUAGCAAGGAGAAAUUGUUUUGUUGCUUGUAUUUAAAUGCUGCUACUCUUCAUGAUGCCUGGAAGGCUAAAGUCAUCAUCAGUACAGAAGGCUAUAACAGCAUCGUUAGAGCAUAUCAUGAGUUUCUGAGCAUGGCAAGUGAGUGGCUAUCACACAAAGCAACUGAUAAACCAAUUAAUUUACUAGUUUUUGGAGUUGCUGCUUUGAUCAUAUCAUGCUUAAUACUUCUGAGACUUGUAUUUGUCAUCCACAAAGAAGUUCCUGCUUUGGAGACACAAAGCAUUGACAAUUAUUCAAAGCCAUGGAAAAUGGAUGAGGUUUUCAUUUUGUUUGGUAUCCUGAUCCUUGUCAUCAGUAUGGGAUCAAGUUCCAUGAUUGAGGAAGAGCAUUAUAUCUGGCAUUUCCUAACAUCCACAAUCACCCUGUUAUUUUUUCGGAAAGCAAUACAGUCUUUGGACCUUAAUAAAGCACGUGAUUUUCUCAGUUCAGUAAAGGAACAAAACAAUACAUCAGGAUGCCAAAUGAUUUCACUGUUUCUUAUUCUUCUUUCUGGGAGAAUUUUGAGAGGCUGGCGUCAAGGUGGUGUAAAUUGGACUCACCUUCCUGACAUUUCUAAGUGGCUAGAGCAGGCUGGCAGCCAAUAUAUAAACUUGAUUCAGAUAGCAUCAUGUGUCAUGGUCAUCAUUUUGGGCAUACUUAUUUUGUUCUUACUGAAAUCUAAAACAAAAGUUGUAAUGGUUUUUGGGUUCUGCUUGUUAAUGUCUGGUUUUUUGGUAUUACGACACUUUGUAAAACAUCAGAACAUGUCUGCCUCAUACAAUAAGGAUGCCAAUUUAUCAGUACAACUAUUCUAUGCCAUUCUGGGAAUCACCAUUAUUACAGUUGUAUUGGUUUUGCCAUGGAUAUUGCCUAUGCAAACUCCUGGAAUGUGCUCAAGGCAAAACUUAUACAAGUCUGCUUCUGCUCCAGUUGAAAUUCUAAACAUGACACCAAUUUUUGUAUUAAAGGAUUCCUUGUACAUUGCUGGAUGUGUGUACACAACUUCUUGGUGUCUUCUGCAGUUUUUGCUUCAAAAACCCGUAAACGUGAUGCCUAUGUUGUUGCUCUUUGUUCAAGUCUUGGCCAGCAUACUUAUUUUUUCUUCUAGUGGGACACGUCAUAAGUGGGUUGAGAUUACUGCUCUGUACAACCUGGGAAUGGCAGGCCAUUUUGCUCUUGGGAACAGUAAUACGCUGGCUACUAUUGAUGUGGCUGGAGCUUUUAUCGGAAUUUCAAGUCACUCAACCUUCCUUUCAGGUCUUCUAAUGUUCAUCAUUACUUAUGCAUCUCCAAUGUUAUUUUCUCUCAGUAUGGUGCUGUACAUCUCUGUGAAGGUCACAAUCUGUCCACUAAUUACCAAGGAUGGAAAUUCUGGAGAAAUUCUCAAGACCCUUCUUGGUUUUCCUUGCCUAGUACCUCUCAGCAUAAAUUCUGUUCUCUUGACUGCAUACACGAUUGUUUUGCUGUUGAUGAGAAAUCAUUUAUUUAUUUGGAGUGUCUUUUCUCCCAAGUACCUUUAUGUUUGUGCUGCAACUGCAUGCGUCUAUAUUGGGGUCUUCAUUGUAGUUGCUACUGUGAUUCAUACUUACAUUGUGCUUUUUGGGCUGAGAAAGAGUUUCUUCACACGUAACAAGGAAAAUGAGGGGAAGCAGGUGGAAUAUAGCAGUCUGAUACCCCUCUGUGCCUGCCUCUGGCUAAUCAUUUACUGUUGAAUUCUUAUUCGUUGAUGAAGUAGGAUAUAACCGAUUGGUUUCGCACACUGAUUGAGUUUUCAUUGUUUAUCAAUCAUCAUUUGGUCUUGCCUGUUAAAUUGCUAUUGAUGGUUAGUAGGGUCUCCAGAUCACCAGGACAUGUAAAUGAGCAGUUUCACCACUCACCUCAGAAAUGAUGGAAUUAUAGUGAUUUUCUUUCGAGUGAAUAUUUUUUAAGCCAAACUUGUUUUGAUUUAGUUUAAUUCAAAAUGGAAUGUAUUUGCUGGACCCGGAUUCCCUGCUGUAACUGAUUACUGUAGGGUGCAGUUGACGCCAGAAAAUGAGAGAAUUCGAGGCUGUAUUUGCUUCAGUUCUUAUGGAACCCCCCCCCCCCCCAAUCAAGACACCAGAUAACGAUCAUAUAGGAAUAGUUUCUUUAUUUGGUCUUGGUACCGGACAACAAAUCAAUAAAUAAAACGUUUUUAUUAGAAAUUACAUCAAGGUGUAUUGAAAAUUUGGGGGAGAGUGCAUUAAUAACACUAUUUAAUUAUUAUUAUUUUUAUUACAUAAUGAGUGGCCUUAACAUUUACCCUUUUUAUUUUCUCUAUCCUGGACAGUUGUACAACAGUUUACUCUCAUCAUCCUUUGUUUUCAGUCAUUUUAUACGUUAUGUGCCUUGUAUCUUUCAAUUCAUUGCAAAAUCACUUCCUUCUGCAUUUUUGUUUUUUCCUGAGUAUUUAUGGAGCAGUGUAGCUUUGCCAAUAUUUGCUAUUUGAAUUAACUGCAUAUGGAAGAAUGUUCUUGUUGAAUCUGCUGUCCCUACUGAAAAUGGUUGCACUUAAAUCAGUUUUCUUGAGAGUCAAUUUUUGUGGGGAGGGAGGAAAAGGAAGGAAGGAGAAGACUUAUUUGAUGACAAUUCUUGUUUGAAACUUUUUAAAUUAAAGAGGGGUUUUAUAAAAUUCUUCAAAAUUCUCCUAUUUCCAUGUUUUUAAGUUUUCUUAAAUUGAGAAAUUUUUUAUGAACUUUAUUUCUUCUUCCCUUUUCUUUUCCUCUUUUACCCUAUCAUUUUUUCUCCCUCGAAACUUCCCUACAAAGCCUAAAGGACCUAACAAUGGUGUCAUGUCAAAACUGAUAAAAUAGAUAGCUAAUCUUUACAGCCUGACCUUAAUCAAAUAGAUAUUAGUGUUUGAUCUCUGCUAAAAGCUCUUUGAUGAUCUAUUAGCAGAGUACACAUGGGCAAUAGCAUUACUGAAAAAACUGUUGAUUUUCUUCAUAAUAUAAAUGAAUUAUAUUAUUACUUGUUUUGCUUUGGUACAUGAGUAAAGUAUGAUUCGAUAGGCUUUGCUUCAGGCAUUCAGCCCAUCUUAUUAGUAUUUAUUUUCUUUGGUCAAAUUAGUAUAUCACCGGGUUUUUGACUAGGGUACGCCGUUGCGUGAUGCGCCGGGCCCAUUACUUUUACAACAUCUAGAUGAAGUAGGAUAUGGUCUACAAGACUGGUCAACUAUCUUAACUCCGCUUUGUUGGAAAAAGUAGUUAUUUUGGUAAAAAUUGCGGGAAUUUCUUUUAAGAACAUAGAAACAAGGAAAGCCCAACAUUGUAAUAGGCUUACGGGCUUAGCAUUUCUGGCUCAACCUCGACUUGUUCACGCCUCACAUCGUAAAGAUUCAGACCUGAAUGAAUAUGUAAGCAAAAUAUUAAACUCAGAACGUGCUUCAUAUUAUACUUGUAAAUGCUUUACAUAUAUUAAAUUAAUAUAUUUUAGUGAUUCACUGCCAGUACUAUUUCCAUUCCAAAAUACAUAUCAGGUUAGUUGGUAAAAGUAUAAAAAGAAGAUAAAUGAUAUUUUUGCUUCACAACAAAUUUUAUG
Abrus precatorius (Indian licorice) is the source of this 4895-nucleotide RNA transcript. It is a transcript of the gene named GPI ethanolamine phosphate transferase 2, with no coding region annotated. The transcript is spliced from 19 exons. The record is from RefSeq and is a predicted model, not a curated record. Lineage: Eukaryota; Viridiplantae; Streptophyta; Magnoliopsida; Fabales; Fabaceae.